GACGGACGCUGGCGGCGUGCUUAACACAUGCAAGUCGAACGGAAAGGCCCCAGCUUGCCGGGGUACUCGAGUGGCGAACGGGUGAGUAACACGUGGGUGAUCUGCCCUGCACUCUGGGAUAAGCCUGGGAAACUGGGUCUAAUACCGGAUAGGACCGUGCUUUAGUGUGUGCGGUGGAAAGUUUUUCGGUGCAGGAUGAGCCCGCGGCCUAUCAGCUUGUUGGUGGGGUAAUGGCCUACCAAGGCGGCGACGGGUAGCCGGCCUGAGAGGGUGUACGGCCACAUUGGGACUGAGACACGGCCCAGACUCCUACGGGAGGCAGCAGUGGGGAAUAUUGCACAAUGGGCGCAAGCCUGAUGCAGCGACGCCGCGUGGGGGAUGACGGCCUUCGGGUUGUAAACCCCUUUCGGCAGGGACGAAGCUUUUGUGACGGUACCUGCAUAAGAAGCACCGGCUAACUACGUG
This 465-nucleotide ribosomal RNA is filed under the name uncultured bacterium. RNAcentral's name for it is "partial 16S ribosomal RNA". It matches the Rfam family "Bacterial small subunit ribosomal RNA", at positions 28 to 507 of the family's 1533-position model. The record is from RNAcentral.